This 700-nucleotide ribosomal RNA is filed under the name uncultured bacterium. RNAcentral describes it as "bacterial SSU rRNA". It matches the Rfam family "Bacterial small subunit ribosomal RNA", at positions 61 to 750 of the family's 1533-position model. The record is from RNAcentral.
GUCGAACGGCAGCACAGGAGAGCUUGCUCUCUGGGUGGCGAGUGCCGUACGGGUGAGGAAUACAUCGGAAUCUACUUUUUCGUGGCGGAUAACGUAGGGAAACUUACGCUAAUACCGCAUACGACCUACGGGUGAAAGCAGGGGAUCUUCGGACCUUGCGCGAUUGAAUGAGCCGAUGUCGGAUUAGCUAGUUGGCGGGGUAAAGGCCCACCAAGGCGACGAUCCGUAGCUGGUCUGAGAGGAUGAUCAGCCACACUGGAACUGAGACACGGUCCAGACUCCUACGGGAGGCAGCAGUGGGGAAUAUUGGACAAUGGGCGCAAGCCUGAUCCAGCCAUACCGCGUGGGUGAAGAAGGCCUUCGGGUUGUAAAGCCCUUUUGUUGGGAAAGAAAUCCAGCUGGCUAAUACCCGGUUGGGAUGACGGUACCCAAAGAAUAAGCACCGGCUAACUUCGUGCCAGCAGCCGCGGUAAUACGAAGGGUGCAAGCGUUACUCGGAAUUACUGGGCGUAAAGCGUGCGUAGGUGGUCGUUUAAGUCCGUUGUGAAAGCCCUGGGCUCAACCUGGGAACUGCAGUGGAUACUGGGCGACUAGAGUGUGGUAGAGGGUAGCGGAAUUCCUGGUGUAGCAGUGAAAUGCGUAGAGAUCAGGAGGAACAUCCAUGGCGAAGGCAGCUACCUGGACCAACACUGACACUGAG